This 406-nucleotide ribosomal RNA is filed under the name uncultured bacterium. RNAcentral describes it as "bacterial SSU rRNA". It matches the Rfam family "Bacterial small subunit ribosomal RNA", at positions 509 to 916 of the family's 1533-position model. The record is from RNAcentral.
CAGCAGCCGCGGUAAUACGUAGGGUGCAAGCGUUAAUCGGAAUUACUGGGCGUAAAGCGUGCGCAGGCGGUUUUGUAAGACAGAGGUGAAAUCCCCGGGCUCAACCUGGGAACUGCCUUUGUGACUGCAAGGCUAGAGUACGGCAGAGGGGGAUGGAAUUCCGCGUGUAGCAGUGAAAUGCGUAGAUAUGCGGAGGAACACCGAUGGCGAAGGCAAUCCCCUGGGCCUGCACUGACGCUCAUGCACGAAAGCGUGGGGAGCAAACAGGAUUAGAUACCCUGGUAGUCCACGCCCUAAACGAUGUCAACUGGUUGUUGGGAAUUAACUUUCUCAGUAACGAAGUAACGCGUGAAGUUGACCGCCUGGGGAGUACGGCCGCAAGGUUAAAACUCAAAGGAAUUGACGG